CUCAUAGUAGUUUUGAUUUGCAUUUCUCCAAUAAUGAGUGAUGUUCAGCUUUUUUUUCAUGUGCUUGUUGGCUAUCUGUAUAUCAUCUUUGCAAGAAAUGUCUAUUCAGGUUUUUGCCCAUUUUUUUCUAUUGGGUUGUUAGCUUUUUUGCUGUUGAGUUGUAUAAGUUGUUUGUAUAUUUUAUAGUUUAAGCCCUUAUCAGUUGCAUCAUUUGAAACUAUUUUCUCCUAUUCUGUAAGUUGUCAUUUUUUUUAAAAAAUGGUUUCUCUUGCUGUGCAAAAGCUUGUCAUUUUGAUUAGGUCCCAUUGGUUUAUUUUUGCUUUGAUUUCUGCUGCCUUUAGAAACUGACCUGAGAAAACAUUUGUAAGGUUGAUGGCAAAGAAUGUUUUGUCUAUGUUCUUUUCUAGGAGUUUGAUGGUGUCUUAUCAUAUGUUUCAGUCUUUAAGAGAUUUUGUGUUUAUUUUUGUGCAUGGUGUGAGGGUGUGUUCCAGCUUCAUUGAUUUACAAGCGGCUGUCCAAUUUUCCCAACACCACCUGCUGAAAAGACUGUCUUUUACCCAUUUUGUAUUCUUGCCUCCUUUGUCAAAGAUUAAUUGACCGUAGGUGUCUAGGUUUAUUUCUGGGUUCUCUAUUCUGUUCCAUUGGCCUGUAUGUCUGUUUUGGUACCAGUACCACACUGUCUUGAUUACUGUGGCUUUGUCGUAUUGCCAGAGCAGAGGGAAUUUAAUAUCUGCACAUCUGUUCAACUUGCAAUGUGUCAGAUACAAAAAUAUAAAUAAUAUAAUUUACUAGACAUUUCUGGGUAAUGGCAUAAUUCCUACUAAAAUUAGCUAUUGGAAUCAGCUUAUUUCUUUUUAGACUGAAACCUCAAAAUAAAUACAGGGAUAUGAUAUUAAUUAUGAAAUACAGAAUUUGAUAACUACUCCUUAGAUUUAGAAAUCAGCAAAACAAACAUAAAUUUAUUCUCCUUCUUCUUAUAAAUUCAAAGUCAGCUAAAUUUAAGUUCUUUUAUUACACUUUGAUGAAACAAUUUGGUGUAAAAUUCCAAAAAUAAUUUGGUCUACCUAUAAGGAAGUUUUAGGAUGAAAUCUUUAGUUAUGCUUGGUUGCCCUCUCAAUAACAUUAUAUUUUCUCUCAUUUUCCCUUUAUCUUUAAAAAUCUUUAUCAAAUUCAUUAUGUAUAAAUUAUAAAAUCUGUUAAUAUACUAAUGACAAUUUUUCUCUUAAGUGAUAAUAUCACAUUUGGAUUAAUCUUGUACAGUUACCACUUAAAUAUUGAACUGUGUGCAGGAGUGGAUAUGAAUGUACUAGAACUUUUUAAUAUUCAGUGUUGUAUAGAAACAUCCCUAUUUAUUGUUGAGUUUUUGAUAAUUUUUAAGUAAAUGAAAUGUACUUGGGUUGCUACUUGUUUUUCAAUUAACAUUAUUUUUAGUUAUAGAAUGAACUGGAAAAGCAAAUACUUUUGUGUUCUACUUUCAAAUGUGAUGCAUCAAAAUAAGGGAUGUUUUGACAGAAAAAAAGAAAUCUUGUUCAGCCCUUGUCAGCAUCAGUCAAUUCCUUCAUUUGUAGGAGAACUUGAGGAAUAUUUAGUGAAUAGCUGACAAAUAGACUACAGGGCAUAUCUAAUUAGUAUUUUUUUUCUUCCUGGACUAUAUAGAGAAGAGAAGGUAAUUACAGAAACCUAAAGUUUAGUCUUCAAAUUGAAUCCCAACUUAAAUGUAGUUUAAAACCUUUAUCCCUUUAAGCUCACGUCUCUUACUGCCUUUUGAUUUCUUUGGUGGUUCAUCCAUAUUAAUGUACCUAAUGACAGACACCCUGAAAAGGUGAGAAUGAAUGCUUUUCCUCUGACAUAUCAGCAGAGGUUGAUGCUACAAAGCGUGUCUUUCAAUGUGUAUCUGCAUGGACUCUGGGUCUGAGAGAAUGAUAUAUACUUCUACUUUAUGCCUGCAAGAUUCAAAAGGCCUUUUCAAAUAUUCAUGUCGUCUUUUUUUUUUUCUUUUUUAUUCUCUACUGGUAUGUGUUAUGUGAUGAGAGAAUGUCAGUGUCUCUGGAGUUUUAUUUUUAAGUUGUAGUCUUGCCUGAGGGGGAAAAUAUAUUGAAAAUUUGCUGGUCAAGCUGUUCACAUUUUCUCAUAACAUGUCUAAUAAUUGCAAAGCAGUUUGUUCUAAUAAUUUAGGCAGGCCUUGCAUAGUUACCAUGAUAGAUUUUGAGGUGAGUUAUUGGACAGUGUCUGGCAUACAGUCGGUAACACCUGGGGAUAACUUUGCCUUUGUGCUGCCUGAUAUAACCAAGGAGAAGUCACAGAGAUGAGAACUUUUUUUAAGCCGGAAUUCUGAUCAGUCUUCCCUGAUCUUGUUUCAACUUUGGUUAUAACUUCCUCAUGUAUGAUAGAUCAAGUUAAUAGGAUUUGUAUUGCCAUAGGCACUACUGCCAUUUCACAUGCUACAGCAGGCAAAUGGAGAUGCUGAUUAGAAACAUAAUAAUGCAAGCACAUUUACUAAACCCAACCUUGGAGUGAAAGGGCAGUGUGUUUGUGGUUUUAUUACUGUGCCACUAACUGUGGCUGUUGUUUGUUCUUUUUAUUUUCCAUGGCUUUGAAAACUUAACGUAUGCAUUCAUAUUUUAGUAUAUCAGUUAGUUGUUUUCUUUCAUUCGAUUUAUAGACCCAAUUAUUUUUUAGGUAUUUCUUUUAAGUUUUUAGCUUCUAAGGCUCACAUUUCUCCAUUAUCCACCAGGGGAAAAAAAAAAAAGGAAUAAAAUCACCAGUUGGUGAAAAAAUUGUUUGAAGGAUGUUAGCUAAGUUAACUUAUAAAUAAUAAUUUUCCCUCAAGAAAAUCCAUGUAUUUAUUUAGCUUCAGGGAAAAUAGAAGAGGAAGGAGAAAUAACUCAUAGUGACGCAUUUCUCCUACUCCCUCCCCCACCUUUUACAAUCAUCUAUCACUUCUCUGUAUCUAUGAGCUUUUAAUUUUUUAAAGAUUUUUUAGUUUAAGUAAUAAUUGAAUAAGAAUUUUUAAAAACAUUGUUAGAAGCAAUGAAAGAAUAAAUCAGUUUAAAUAUAUUUCUUGUUCAUGAUCAAAAGGCACAAUAUUAUUAAGAUGUCAAUUCUUCGUAAACCGAUUUAAAAAUCCAGUGCAAUACCAAUAAAAAUCUCAGCAAGCUAUUUUGUUGCUAUCAACAAACUUUUUUCAAAAUUGAGUAGUCUAGACAAUACUGAUGAAAAGCAGGUAGACAAACUCGUACCUCCCAAUUUCAGAUUUAUUAUAAAGCUAUAAUCAUCAAGAGAUCAUGAUAUUUGAAAACAAAUAGACAUUGAGAUAAAUGGAGUAGAAUCCAUGAGUAGACCUAUGCAAAUACAGACAACUUAACCUUGGUCAAAGGAAUAAAGACACAUUAACACAGAGAAGAUAGCCUUUUAGUCAUCAUCAACAAAUAAUGAGAGAACCAAUGGACAACCAUAAUGAAAUAAAUGAUCAAAGAUACAAACUUUGUACCUUAGACUUAAUUUCACUCAAAGCCAUUCAUUGCCUUAGAUAUAAAAUGCAAAACUGUAAAAAUUGUAGUGGAAUACAUAGGAGAAAUUCUACAUGAGUUAGAAUUGAUUGUAUUUUUGGUGUUGUAUAUGAAAAAUAAUCUAUGAAAGAGAAAAAUUUGAUGAUGUGGACUUUAUUAAAUUUAAAAUGCCCACUCUGUGAAAGUCAGUGUUCAAAGCAUAGAGAGAUAAGCCCCUAACUAGAAUAAUAUAUUUUCAAGACACACCUUUGAAGAAAGACUUGCAUGAAAAAUAUUGAAAGAACUAGGACAAUUCCACAAUCAUGAAACAAACUCCCCCAAUUAAAAUAAAUAGG
This 3844-nucleotide long non-coding RNA is filed under the name Sus scrofa (pig). RNAcentral's name for it is "lncRNA (ENSSSCG00000054062.1)". The record is from RNAcentral. Lineage: Eukaryota; Metazoa; Chordata; Mammalia; Artiodactyla; Suidae.